GUAUCAAGGAAUCAUUGCGUGCGGGUGACAAGUUCAUAUUCGCCCCAUGUUUUGAGGAUGCACAUUGGACCCUGCUGGUGAUUUGUGUUCCCAGUAACACCAUCUUCCUUUUUGAUUCAGCUCGAUUGCCUCAUCCGAAAAAGCUCCUCGUGAAGUCUAUACUGCGAAAUGCUAUGAAGAAUAUAAAUUGCCGAGCUCCUCAAGGUCCUACAUGGAAAUCA
Molecule: long non-coding RNA, 221 nt
Organism: Chenopodium quinoa (quinoa)
Lineage: Eukaryota; Viridiplantae; Streptophyta; Magnoliopsida; Caryophyllales; Amaranthaceae
Exons: 3
Source: RefSeq, a predicted model, not a curated record